RNAcentral lists this ribosomal RNA (436 nucleotides) under uncultured bacterium. Its description in RNAcentral is "bacterial SSU rRNA". It matches the Rfam family "Bacterial small subunit ribosomal RNA", at positions 355 to 786 of the family's 1533-position model. The record is from RNAcentral.
UGAGGAAUAUUGGUCAAUGGGCGGAAGCCUGAACCAGCCAAGUCGCGUGAGGGAUUAAGGCCCUAUGGGUCGUAAACCUCUUUUGUCAGGGAGCAAGACCUUUCACGUGUGGGAGGUUGGAGAGUACCUGAAGAAAAACGCAUCGGCUAACUCCGUGCCAGCAGCCGCGGUAAUACGGAGGAUGCGAGCGUUAUCCGGAUUUAUUGGGUUUAAAGGGUGCGUAGGCGGGACCUUAAGUCAGCGGUAAAAUUGCGGUGCUCAACGCCGUAGAGCCGUUGAAAGCUGGGGUUCUUGAGUGAGCGAGAAGUAUGCGGAAUGCGUGGUGUAGCGGUGAAAUGCAUAGAUAUCACGCAGAACCCCGAUUGCGAAGGCAGCAUACCGGCGCUCAACUGACGCUGAGGCACGAAAGUGCGGGUAUCGAACAGGAUUAGAUACC